CCCGGAGGAGUACUGGAUGGGUGGGAAGCUGGACCAAGACCCAGCUUUGAUGGUUUCAGCUCAGGUGUGCUCAUCUUCCGAGAGCUACACUGGGCAAGGGUGAGGGUAGAUUUCAUGACAAAUAAGACCCAGGUCCACGAAUGGGCGACAUGGAUGCCCCCAUUCAAGUCCAAGCCCACUGUGUGCUGGGGCCAGGAGGAGAGGCCGAGACUCAUGGGUUAGAGUCUAGGCACACCCAAGACUCUGUAUUCUACUCUCAAGACCCGGGAGAUGGGUAUGAUGACAUGGACAUUAUGCUCAGAGAAAAACAAUUUGGAUGGGGCUAUACGGCGGUUUGAUCCUUUAAUGAGAAUAACAGGACUGAGGUCUGGCCUUCUGCGUGGAGCUGUGACCUGAGGGUGGCCUGGAGGGUCAGGUCCCCUGAGCAGUCGAGAUAACUUCCGAUUCUCUCUGGACAAACCCAUGGGGCAUCAGGACACAUCACCCCAACCCUGGAGGGGGGCACAGACAGAGAAGGUGCAGGCUCAGUUCAUUCUGGAUUCUGAAUGAACUUCGUUUUCCGAAUACCCUCCAUUGCUCAAGAACCUGCAGUGCCAUCUACAGCGCAGACUGCAGGUUCCUCAGGCUGCGGGUGAGGUGGUUCACCGCAGGCCCCAGCACCCCGCUGCAGUUCCACCUGGCCCUGCUCCCAACCACGGCACCUCCUCCAGGCGGACUGGUCCUCUUGGAGACUGCUGACAACAAGCACACUUCUGCCUCCUCCUAAAGCCUGCUGAAACCAUCCGCUGCACCGUAAUGCUCUCCCUCCUUCUGUCUAGUCCCAGAUCACACCUUGUGCAAAGCCCACCUCCAGAGCCACCUCUGCCUUCCCUUGAAGAUCUAGCUUUUACUGUCCAUCAUUCACUUGGUAUUUUAAAAUAUUCUGCUUGGUAGCAUCUCUUUCAUAUAUCAACCUAUUAUCUGAAAGGUACUUAAAAAAAAAAAGACAAGGAAAAAGGAAAGGCCAACAUCAGUAC
Bos taurus (domestic cattle) is the source of this 1016-nucleotide long non-coding RNA. The record is from Ensembl. Lineage: Eukaryota; Metazoa; Chordata; Mammalia; Artiodactyla; Bovidae.